ACGGGUGAGUAAUGUCUGGGAAACUGCCUGAUGGAGGGGGAUAACUACUGGAAACGGUAGCUAAUACCGCAUAACGUCGCAAGACCAAAGAGGGGGACCUUCGGGCCUCUUGCCAUCAGAUGUGCCCAGAUGGGAUUAGCUAGUAGGUGGGGUAACGGCUCACCUAGGCGACGAUCCCUAGCUGGUCUGAGAGGAUGACCAGCCACACUGGAACUGAGACACGGUCCUGACUCCUACGGGAGGCAGCAGUGGGGAAUAUUGCACAAUGGGCGCAAGCCUGAUGCAGCCAUGCCGCGUGUAUGAAGAAGGCCUUCGGGUUGUAAAGUACUUUCAGCGGGGAGGAAGGUGUUGCGGUUAAUAACCGCAGCAAUUGACGUUACCCGCAGAAGAAGCACCGGUUAACUCCGUGCCAGCAGCCGCGGUAAUACGGAGGGUGCAAGCGUUAAUCGGAAUUACUGGGCGUAAAGCGCACGCAGGCGGUCUGUCAAGUCGGAUGUGAAAUCCCCGGGCUCAACCUGGGAACUGCAUUCGAAACUGGCAGGCUAGAGUCUUGUAGAGGGGGGUAGAAUUCCAGGUGUAGC
Molecule: ribosomal RNA, 581 nt
Filed under: uncultured bacterium
Lineage: Bacteria
Description: bacterial SSU rRNA
Rfam family: Bacterial small subunit ribosomal RNA
Source: RNAcentral